UGGCAAACCAGGUGCCAGCUCUUGCCUAGGCUACAGGCAUUAGGUAAGAAGUGACAAACUUAUAGCUGGAGACCAGUUAACCUGUAUGUUAGUUUAGCUCAAAAUAGGUAUUCGUUUUAUAAGGAUGUAUUUAGUGUUUAGACUCUAUGAAAUGCUUGUAAAUUGCUGCAUGCAUUAAUCUCACUUGUAAAUUCUAUAUUACCUGCUAUAAAAAAA
This is a long non-coding RNA of Chelonia mydas (Green sea turtle), 216 nucleotides long. RefSeq lists it as uncharacterized. The record is from RefSeq and is a predicted model, not a curated record. The transcript is spliced from 3 exons. Lineage: Eukaryota; Metazoa; Chordata; Testudines; Cheloniidae.